GCGGGUGUAGCUCAGUGGCUAGAGCAUCACGUUGCCAACGUGAAUGUCGAGGGUUCGAAUCCCUUCACCCGCU
This 73-nucleotide transfer RNA is filed under the name bacterium. RNAcentral describes it as "tRNA-Gly". It matches the Rfam family "tRNA". Rfam says of the family: Transfer RNA (tRNA) molecules are approximately 80 nucleotides in length. Their secondary structure includes four short double-helical elements and three loops (D, anti-codon, and T loops). Further hydrogen bonds mediate the characteristic L-shaped molecular structure. tRNAs have two regions of fundamental functional importance: the anti-codon, which is responsible for specific mRNA codon recognition, and the 3' end, to which the tRNAs corresponding amino acid is attached (by aminoacyl-tRNA synthetases). tRNAs cope with the degeneracy of the genetic code in two manners: having more than one tRNA (with a specific anti-codon) for a particular amino acid; and 'wobble' base-pairing, i.e. permitting non-standard base-pairing at the 3rd anti-codon position. RNAcentral also lists the same sequence under 4 other names. The record is from RNAcentral.